Molecule: transfer RNA, 66 nt
Filed under: human gut metagenome
Rfam family: tRNA
About the family: Transfer RNA (tRNA) molecules are approximately 80 nucleotides in length. Their secondary structure includes four short double-helical elements and three loops (D, anti-codon, and T loops).
Source: RNAcentral
CAGUAGCUCAGCUGGAUAGAGCAACGGCCUUCUAAGCCGUGGGUCGCAGGUUCGAAUCCUGUCUGA